GGGGGCGAAGGGGGCCCGGUGGCUCUCGCGGUCUUCAAAACCGUUGCGGGGCGAUGGCAUCGUCCUGGGUGGGUUCGACUCCCAUGCGCCUCCGCCA
This 97-nucleotide transfer RNA is filed under the name Chloroflexota bacterium. RNAcentral describes it as "Chloroflexi bacterium tRNA-Sec". It matches the Rfam family "Selenocysteine transfer RNA". Lineage: Bacteria; Bacillati; Chloroflexota. RNAcentral also lists the same sequence under 1 other name. The record is from RNAcentral.